This 210-nucleotide unclassified non-coding RNA is filed under the name Hevea brasiliensis (rubber tree). Lineage: Eukaryota; Viridiplantae; Streptophyta; Magnoliopsida; Malpighiales; Euphorbiaceae. The record is from RNAcentral.
GAGUCAACUGCUAUAGCAAACAAGGAUACAAUCUUUUCAUUCAAAGAUACUCAACCUAAUGUUGAAGCCAAUUCUCUGGAAAAGAAUAAGUCUGCAGCUCAACAUCCUUACAAGAAACGAGCCUUUAAGAUGAGUGCAUAUGAGGAUUCUUUUGAGCUAGAAGAGAAUGGGCUUUCAGCUCAGUUAGCUGACGGGAGAGGGAAGCUGGAA